GUUAAAGAAACUGAGACAGCACUAAGAGAAAAAGCUGGAACUCAAAAACACAUUAACUUAGAUCUUCCCCCUUCAACCAGAAAAGGAACUGCAUGUGUUUUUCUGCCUCUUCCAGAUAUAUGUCAUAUAAAAGAUGGAUGCCUUCCCUUUAAGAGUUUUGAAUGGAUCACCAAAUAAUUACCUGCUUUUCUCACACAACACAGAUAAAUAAUUAAAAGGAGAUAUACACAGAUUGGUUUCAUACUUAAGAGUGAGAAUCAAUUAAAACAAAAUUGGAUGC
Molecule: long non-coding RNA, 280 nt
Organism: Carlito syrichta (Philippine tarsier)
Lineage: Eukaryota; Metazoa; Chordata; Mammalia; Primates; Tarsiidae
Exons: 4
Source: RefSeq, a predicted model, not a curated record